Molecule: transfer RNA, 74 nt
Filed under: Acidaminococcus fermentans
Lineage: Bacteria; Bacillati; Bacillota; Negativicutes; Acidaminococcales; Acidaminococcaceae
Also listed under: 10 other names
Description: tRNA_Gln_CTG
Rfam family: tRNA
About the family: Transfer RNA (tRNA) molecules are approximately 80 nucleotides in length.
Source: RNAcentral
UCCGGGAUGGUGUAAUGGUAGCACAGGAGAUUCUGGAUCUUCUAGUCUGGGUUCGAGCCCUAGUCCCGGAGCCA